CAGGCCUAACACAUGCAAGUCGAACGGAAAGGCUCCAGCUUGCCGGAGUACUCGAGUGGCGAACGGGUGAGUAACACGUGGGUAAUCUGCCCUGCACUCUGGGAUAAGCCUGGGAAACUGGGUCUAAUACUGGAUAUGACCUUUCUCCUUAUGGGGUUUGGUGGAAAGUUUUUCGGUGUAGGAUGAGCCCGCGGCCUAUCAGCUUGUUGGUGGGGUGAUGGCCUACCAAGGCGACGACGGGUAGCCGGCCUGAGAGGGUGAUCGGCCACAUUGGGACUGAGAUACGGCCCAGACUCCUACGGGAGGCAGCAGUGGGGAAUAUUGCACAAUGGGCGGAAGCCUGAUGCAGCGACGCCGCGUGAGGGAUGACGGCCUUCGGGUUGUAAACCUCUUUCAGCAGGGACGAAGCGUGAGUGACGGUACCUGCAGAAGAAGCACCGGCUAACUACGUGCCAGCAGCCGCGGUAAUACGUAGGGUGCGAGCGUUGUCCGGAAUUACUGGGCGUAAAGAGCUCGUAGGCGGUUUGUCACGUCGUCUGUGAAAUCCUAGGGCUUAACCCUGGACGUGCAGGCGAUACGGGCUGACUUGAGUACUACAGGGGAGACUGGAAUUUCUGGUGUAGCGGUGGAAUGCACAGAUAUCAGGAAGAACACCGAUGGCGAAGGCAGGUCUCUGGGUAGUAACUGACGCUGAGGAGCGAAAGCAUGGGUAGCGAACAGGAUUAGAUACCCUGGUAGUCCAUGUCGUAA
This 750-nucleotide ribosomal RNA is filed under the name uncultured bacterium. RNAcentral describes it as "bacterial SSU rRNA". It matches the Rfam family "Bacterial small subunit ribosomal RNA", at positions 43 to 805 of the family's 1533-position model. The record is from RNAcentral.